This is a long non-coding RNA of Pogoniulus pusillus (Red-fronted tinkerbird), 358 nucleotides long. RefSeq lists it as uncharacterized. The record is from RefSeq and is a predicted model, not a curated record. Lineage: Eukaryota; Metazoa; Chordata; Aves; Piciformes; Lybiidae. The transcript is spliced from 4 exons.
CUGCCUGGCCGCGCUGCCGCUGCGCGCCGCUGCCGUCCCCUCGCCGCGUACCUCUGGCUCGCGUCAGACUCGCAGUGUCUUCGGUCCUGUCCCUGCCAGUGCAAGCGUAAGACACAUGCAGGACAAAGGACCCAAAGCAGAAGACCAAAAAAGGCCCUUGGCCCCUCGAGGUGACUCCUUUUAUCCCCUCAUACAAACAAUGCAUUAACAUAACCAAGACUUCAUCUCACUGAGAAGCUGGCAGGUGUUCUGCGUUUGGCAAGUAGCAGUGCUGUGAAGGGGACAGAGCUCUGGAACAGGCUGCUCAGGGGAGCUGUGGAGUAUCCCUCUCUGGAGAUAUUCAAGACCUGCCUGGAGG